Molecule: ribosomal RNA, 252 nt
Filed under: uncultured bacterium
Lineage: Bacteria
Description: partial 16S ribosomal RNA
Rfam family: Bacterial small subunit ribosomal RNA
Source: RNAcentral
UACGUAGGGGGCUAGCGUUAUCCGGAAUUACUGGGCGUAAAGGGCGCGUAGGUGGUUUCUUAAGUCAGAGGUGAAAGGCUACGGCUCAACCGUAGUAAGCCUUUGAAACUGGGAAACUUGAGUGCAGGAGAGGAGAGUGGAAUUCCUAGUGUAGCGGUGAAAUGCGUAGAUAUAUGGAAGAACACCAGUGGCGAAAGCGGCUCUCUGGUCUGUAACUGACGCUGAGGUUCGAAAGCGUGGGUAGCAAACAGG